GGGAAUGUGGCUUGGUGGUAGAGUGCUUGCCUAACAUGCAUGAAGUCCUGGGUUCGAUUCCUCAGUACCA
This 70-nucleotide transfer RNA is filed under the name Dipodomys ordii (Ord's kangaroo rat). It matches the Rfam family "tRNA". From Rfam's summary of the family: Transfer RNA (tRNA) molecules are approximately 80 nucleotides in length. The record is from Rfam by way of RNAcentral. Lineage: Eukaryota; Metazoa; Chordata; Mammalia; Rodentia; Heteromyidae.